This 592-nucleotide ribosomal RNA is filed under the name Aureimonas sp. Its description in RNAcentral is "bacterial SSU rRNA". It matches the Rfam family "Bacterial small subunit ribosomal RNA", at positions 123 to 749 of the family's 1533-position model. The record is from RNAcentral. Lineage: Bacteria; Pseudomonadati; Pseudomonadota; Alphaproteobacteria; Hyphomicrobiales; Aurantimonadaceae.
AAUCUACCCUUUGGUACGGGAUAGCUCCGGGAAACUGGAAUUAAUACCGUAUGUGGCUUUUGAGCGAAAGAUUUAUCGCCAAAGGAUGAGCCCGCGUCCGAUUAGCUAGUUGGUGGGGUAAAGGCCUACCAAGGCGACGAUCGGUAGCUGGUCUAAGAGGAUGAUCAGCCACAUUGGGACUGAGACACGGCCCAAACUCCUACGGGAGGCAGCAGUGGGGAAUAUUGGACAAUGGGCGCAAGCCUGAUCCAGCCAUGCCGCGUGAGUGAUGAAGGUCUUAGGAUUGUAAAGCUCUUUCACCGGGGACGAUAAUGACGGUACCCGGAGAAGAAGCCCCGGCUAACUUCGUGCCAGCAGCCGCGGUAAUACGAAGGGGGCUAGCGUUGUUCGGAAUUACUGGGCGUAAAGCGCACGUAGGCGGACAUUUAAGUCAGGGGUGAAAUCCCGGGGCUCAACCCCGGAACGGCCUUUGAUACUGGGUGUCUUGAGUUCGGAAGAGGUGAGUGGAAUUGCGAGUGUAGAGGUGAAAUUCGUAGAUAUUCGCAGGAACACCAGUGGCGAAGGCGGCUCACUGGUCCGAUACUGACGCUGA